GAUGAAGAACGUAGCGAAAAGCGAUACGUAAUGUGAAUUGCAAAUUCAGUGAAUCAUCGAGUCUUUGAACGCACAUUGCGCCCCCUGGUAUUCCGGGGGGCAUGCCUGUCCGAGCGUCAUUGCUGCCCUCAAGCACGGCUUGUGUGUUGGGCCCCGUCCUCCGAUCCCGGGGGACGGGCCCGAAAGGCAGCGGCGGCACCGCGUCCGGUCCUCGAGCGUAUGGGGCUUUGUCACCCGCUCUGUAGGCCCGGCCGGCGCUUGCCGAUCAACCCAAAUUUUUAUCCAGGUUGACCUCGGAUCAGGUAGGGAUACCCGCUGAACUUAAGCAUAUCAAUAAGCGGAGGA
This 345-nucleotide unclassified non-coding RNA is filed under the name soil metagenome. Its description in RNAcentral is "partial contains 5.8S ribosomal RNA, internal transcribed spacer 2, and large subunit ribosomal RNA". The stretch from base 1 to 119 matches the Rfam family "5.8S ribosomal RNA", at positions 35 to 154 of the family's 154-position model. The record is from RNAcentral.